Molecule: long non-coding RNA, 2305 nt
Organism: Cavia porcellus (domestic guinea pig)
Lineage: Eukaryota; Metazoa; Chordata; Mammalia; Rodentia; Caviidae
Exons: 4
Source: RefSeq, a predicted model, not a curated record
GAGGUUGGGCGGUUGGGCCGUUGGGGACAGUAGGCGUGGCCUCGCGCUUGGCAGCUGGGAUGCGCAGGGCACAGCGGCGGCAUCAGGAGAACAAAGCAGUCCACGUCCUGGUGAGCUGCAGCUCCUCGGGCUCUUCCAGGCGGGAGAAGCGGCCUCUGCGGAGCAGGAGAGGGCGCCGAGUAUGGCAGACAUGUGAGAGGCCUGUGCCGGCAAGGGGAGUCCCAAGGCCUGACCAGAGCAAAAGAUCCCAGUCACCAGAGGGGUGGUGAGCCCCACUCCCUCUGCCACAGGGCUGCAGGGCUGAGCAGCCGUCCGUCCUCCGGGGAGGCCGGGUGCAGAGAGCACAGAUUCGGAAAUGGACAGAACUUCCAUGAGAGGAGGCAGCAACCAUGUCUACCUCCGUGGAGAAUUCUAUGACUCUCACCAGUUGGAGGCUGAGCGAGCCGGUGCAGCCCCAGGCUGUGUUGUGCCGCAGGGAAGCAAUUUCAAGACUUAGGUUUCUGGGAGGCGCAUUCCGAGAGGCCGUGCAGCCCAGCCUGACUUCCUGACCUGCGUGCUUGUGGCAGUGCGCAGGCGCUUUGGGCGCAGCCGCGUGGAGCUCUGCGACGCAUGGGAAGGACCUCGAUGGUGCUUUCUCUGCAGGACUUGUACAGGAGGGGAAAGGGAAGGGUAUUUCCUGGAAACUUCUCGAGAAUGACACUUGCAGCAAUAGUCCAGAUCUUCUGCCUAGCUGGCCGAUGUGAUAGGAACUUCCUGUCCUUCCGCUUGCCACUAGUUGCAGAGUAGAGGAGACAAGGACCUCCUAUUGCUUCAAGUUUCAUUCCCGCCUUAAAUGGCUGAGACUGCUGGCUUCCUUGCUUCCUCCUUGAAGGGGUGAUUUUCAGAUCUCAGAGGUCGCAAGAGGGACAUUGGCCACACUAGGAAUCUGGAUCCUGGGGACAGAUGGCUAAAGUAAAGCCCUCUUCGCACCCCCAAAUAUCCUGAUGGAUUGUGUGUCCAAGGCCCUAGGGACCCACCAGCCCCCUGUAAUAAUUUUCCUGGUCUCUGCUGUCUGGUGGAAUUGUAAUCUAGGACUUGUAACCCGACAGUCGUCACGCUGCCCUGUGGGAGAGCUGGGGCAGAAGCCAGCUUCCCUUUCGGACAGAAGCAGACAACUGUGAGGUCUCCAGGGAGGGAAGCUCUAGGUUCAGGGAGCGUCAGUCUCCCCCCAGGCAUGCUUCUAGAGGUUGGUGUUUUUGACUGUCCUCCGUGGCAGGUUACAGACCUUCCUGUUUUUUCCAACCACUUCCUUUCUGUGGUCCUAAGAUGAACGGUGCCCUUGGUUGUGUCCUCAGGGUCUGUUAGCAGGGGACCCAGGACACUGCCACUGUAUGGCAGAGCUCAGGCACAAGCCACGCACGGGCUUUUGAAAAGCAGCUCAGUAGAGGUGUAAUUGGCCUCCAGCAAACUGCACACGGAGUGUGCAAGUACCUUCUGCUAUUGUCACGCCCUGCCAGCCGCCAGCUUGCCUGUCCCCAGGAAACGGCCUUGUGGCGAAGGGUCUCUUCGCUUUCCGCUUUCACUACCUAACACACUGGAUCCAAAGCAGACGAAAGUCAAAAAGCACCCCAGCCAAGGAACUGGGGUGGUGUGACCUUGACUGUCACACAGUUAUUGAGUGACUUUCCUUCUGAACCUAGAUGUGAAAAUCCUCCUCCAAUGGCUGAUUCAGCAAUUACGCAAAAGACAAAUGAAAAUGUAUGACCACCCCAUAGACUGUGGUUCUCCGCAGUGUUACAUUUUUUCUCUAAACCUUUGUCUAGGUUUCCUUCCAACUUACCUGUAACUGUAAAUUGGUUGAUUUUUCUCAUUUCCUCCUGGCAUUGCAAGCAGGCUGUUUGCUCCUGACCUCCUGCCAGAAGAUGUGCUCUGGGUAAAGAAAAGGUGCUAGUCGGGAGACGUGCUGCAUUUCAAAGCAAAAGUGGCCUUCACUUGCCAUUUUCCCAGCCCUUAGAAUGGGCUCAGAGCCCUAGCAUGGGGAAACCAAGUGUGGCUCACCCCGGGCAAAGCUGAUCAGAAAGACAAAGCCAAGCCUGGAGGAGGAGGACUGACACUCGGGUGCUCUUAUGGGGUGCUCUUAUCGGGUGCUCUUAUCUGCUUCGUAUCCUCCACACAGCUGUCCCAAACCUCACAGUGGGUGAGGAUUAGGAAUGAAACUUGAUUUCAUGUAGAAGACCCAUUUGUCAAGUACUUGUCACUUGGGUGCCAGCCUAGCACCAGGAUUGGAUGUUGAAGUUAAAAUGGUGAAUUAAAGUAGAUAAGCCAA